Cyanistes caeruleus (blue tit) is the source of this 6694-nucleotide non-coding RNA. The record is from RefSeq and is a predicted model, not a curated record. NCBI's taxonomy places the organism in Eukaryota, Metazoa, Chordata, Aves, Passeriformes, Paridae.
GAGAGGCCGCUGCCCGCGCCCGGGAACAGCCGGGAAUGGGAAAUGGCUGCGUCCGCUUCUCUCGUCAGGCCUGGCCAAGGAGAGACACGAGCACCUGGACGUUAAUUCCCCGACGGAAAAAAAGGUCCACACCUUUGAGAUCCCCAGGUUUGCUGAAAAUUUUUCUCUGAAGACUUCAUUAAGUUCUGGCCUGGACACCAAUUUGUCAGCAAAAGAUAAAGCAUGUUGAGAAGCCAACCCAAGAGGUUCCUCCUUAGCACAUUUGUGAAGGCCUGUUGCUGCUCAUACUGACUUCGGAGCUCAGAGGUAAAAGAAAUAGAAAUAAGAGGGACAGCCCCCACCCAUGAAACAAGUAGAGGGAAAUACGUGACUGGUGGCAUGUUUUCUGUCCUAUUCAACACUGCUCUCUCCCACUGCAGUGCCAGAGUUUGCCUCUGUUCACCAUGGUAAUAGGUAAAGGAAGGACAGACAUUGUAAAAAAAAUUAAAAUGGAUUAAAUCGUCUGCAGAUUCAUUUUUACUCUAUAAUUUUCUAAGUAUAAUCUUUGUCCAGGAUGUGGGAGGAAUGCUUCUGCCAUGCAACAGCGGCCUACCAAAUACCUCUCUCAGCCCUGUGAGCAAUUUGAGCAGCAUUUUGCACGGUCUCUUUUUGAAAAAGAUGUAAUUCAUAAAGCUCCCCCUUUCCCUUAGCUCCAAAAAAUAUCUGUAGCAGUUUCCAAGAUGUUGAUGUGUACAUAUCGUGUAGUAGAAAUGCAGACAAAAUACAUGCAGCACUGCAUAUGUUUCAAAAACAUACCAGCUUCCUGAUACAUCAAAAUGGAAUCUAAUGGAAAACCAAGAUGAUUUCCUGUGUGGUGCUGGGGGCUACUGUAAGAGCUGAAGUCAGGAGAAGAGAAGGCACGCAAGAACAUUUCUGGCUGAGCUCCAGAGUACAGAGAUUUCAAGUUUCUUGUGAGGACAGAAGAGCACUGUGCACUUGUAUUUCUAACUGUUGGCACUCCAACUAUACACAGCUAGUCAGAAGGAUCGGUUAUAGCUAGAGCUCAGUUUGAAAAGAGAUUUCAAACAGAUUAAAAAUUCCUAUUCAUUACAAGCUUCUAAAUUAAGUGAAACUCACUGAAAGAUUGGAUUCUUUCUGAAUCCUGAAUAAUUCUUUACAUUGUGAUCAGGGAAUGAGGUUGUUUUGGACUCUUAAUUUAGAAACGCAUGUAUGGGAUUUAUGCUAGCACUCCUAAUGUCCAGAAUUACAGAACUGUCAACAGUUUGUCAAGAAAAACAUUCACUCACUUUUGUUUUUUGAAAGAAAAGCGAUAUAAAAAUCUGUUUGGGACAGCAUCCCUGUCUCUCAGACUUGAGACAUUUUGCAACCAUAGGAGCAUAAAUGUAAAUGCAAGAUGACCUGCACUGUGUGCAAGGAAUGUGAAGUUUUUCUGAAAUGCCUCCUUCUAUUUCCUCAAACUAAUUACCACGUGCAGCCUUUCAACAUGGCUUUCUUGCUUUCUCAUGCAAAUGAAGUAACAGGAGCAAACCGUACAGCACAGCCCUGGAAAUGAGGGCAGGGUUGCCCUUUUGGGUCCUUUCUAGACCUUGCUUUCUGUAUGUGCUGCAUGAAGCUCCUGCAGUGUUACAUGAAUGGACAACACAAAUAAACUCCAGCACAGUUACCACUACUUUCAGGUUUGAUUUACCUGAGCAAGGUCUCCUUGGCUUGUCUUUCCGUGUAGCAUCAACGGCUGCUUCAACCUGCAGGAAACCAAAGCGAGAAGUUUUCUGUGUGGGAUAUACACUUGUUUUCAAAAGAACUGUUGUAUAAAACCCCCUAUGCUUUCUGUGUUGCUGGAGUUGCCUGAGGGCGCUCUGUCAUUGUUGAUAAUACAUUAAGCACAAUACAUCAGCAUGCCAGAGAAAAAGAUUUCCCAGGAUCAGCUAUGCCCUUUGUAGAGCAGUAAGCAAGAAUGACUAAGGUAUAAAAGGGCAUACUGUGGUGAAGCUUUUAUGUGAGUGGGAACUGCAGGGCCAGAGAAGACAUUAAUGCCUUCUGCAAGCCAUGAAGAAAUUAGCAAGACGUAUAAAUGGAAAAUCAAAGACAACUAGAACAGUCACACAUCCAAAAAAUCAUCUGGACAACAGAGCUGUCUGAGUGAUCCAGAAGCAAGAUUCCUAUUGUCAUAUGAUGGCUGCAGAGAUGAGGUUAAUUUGGCUCCGUCCUGCUGACACUGCUGAAUCAGAAGUUUAUUGCAGAACAAUCUGAGCAAUAUCUUGGAUCUCGAACCCCAGUUUUGCACAAUUAAACCACAGUGUUUCAAUGGUCAGGACUGAAAAGUAAGUGAAAAGAAAGGACAGACUCAGUUUGCAGGAAGCAGAUGUCCUGUGACAGAUGACCAAGUUAUCUUUAAGCUGAUACACAAACUGGUUUCUUUGCAAAUCAGCAGGAAUGCAAUGCCCAGGUGUUAUAGCCUCCCCAAGUGUACUGUGUGCAUCUGCACUUUCUACUUGAUUUCUUCUGCUCUGUCCUCUGCUGUACUCUGUGAACCUUCCUGAGGUUACAAAGGAUCUUCCAAGUUACAAAAUUGUCCCUGAUAAAAUCGGUACCACAGAGGUACUUUUUGAUGAAGCUAAUAACAAACCCAAAUAUUCCACAGUUCUUGCUUGUUCCAGCCAACCCUUCACGACUGAGACAGAUGUGUUUAAUAAAACAAAAAUCCAAACAACUUUCCUCUCCCUUCCCUGCCACCCCUCCCUCAAAAGAAAAAAAAACAACAAAAAAAAAUAAUCAGGCCUAUAAUUAUUCUAAUUAGCAUCAGACUGCUGAUUCAGUAAACCAUAGAUAUGAGGAUACAAAACUUUGGAUGGGCAAAUAUGCCCAGAGUCUUUGAAGUUACAAACUUUGCACUGGCAGUUGUUCAAAACUAUCUAACAGUUGAUUUUGGAAGGCUGACCAGAAUGCCUUUGUAGAACUUCUUGCAUACAGGAAAGCUUCACUUAUUUGAGGGUAAUCAGCACAUCACCUUCGCCUUUUCACAUCGUUUACAUCCUUACAAAAUUACUUAUCCCAGUACCAUUCCAGUCAAAUCAUAAAAGCAUUAUAAAAAGCUCCUAUCUCCACUACAGCAAUAUCCCCUCAAUGAUCUCCACCUCAGAGGGGUGCACGUAACAGGCUGUUUAGAGUUGCACCCCAGCGGCCAAGGCUUUGAAAACCAUUUGAAAGGCCAGAAAGUGCCAAGGUAUAUAGAGUAGCCAAGGUAUUGGCUAAAGGGAGUGUGAUCCCUUUGCUUCAGUAAUCACUCAAUUUAAGGGUGUAGGGGCUGCUAGGGCAACCCAGGGCCAUCCAUCAAAUCCUUCCUGAAAGGUAUCUGAGAGCUAAUCUGCAUUUUACACAGCAGCUGCAAAAAGGAGCAGUGAUGCUAAAUCACAGAUCAGCAAGCCACUAAUGUAUUUAGCAAACACUUUUCUUAGAUUUUUCCCCAAGAUUAAAGGCUUUCCUUUGGUCAUCUUUCUUGUCAAUACAGAGAAAAGAAUCUCAGUUCUGUUAAAGAAUGUCUUUUGUUAAGGAAAUGCUCCCUGAUGGAAGCUGUUUGCUGCAUAAGGAAUUGAAGGAAAUGAUAUGAUUUGCUUAAUAAUAAGUACCAUAAGAGUCUUUAUAAAAAAAGGAUUGCAUUUGAUUUCAUAUUAUUAAAUAGCAUUUAUCAAAAUAUCUGGUAGCUAAAUAAAAUCUUCCUCCUCCUCCCUGAAUGUGGUCAUCUACUGAAAGCUUGGGAAGAGAAAAUUGCAGUUGAAUGUUAUGCCAGAGACUUGUCCCCAGUUCAGUUCUGAUGGCCUUUUUUCCUCUGUUUCUGUCUGAGUGAGAUGGUUUACUGCAGAGAGCACCUGAGAGGCCAUCAAAAGAGUGCAGGACUGGAGAAGAGCAGCUCAGAGCACUCUGCCUUGCUCACAUCACCACAACAGCUGCAGAGGGAAAACACUCCUGACACGGCAUUUCCUUUGCUGCAUCCUCUGUGUGAUGCCCACUGUGUGAUGGGCAGGAAUAGCAGGAGGUGACACUGAUGAUUUCAAGCUUUAAUACCCACCUCUGUGGGGCCAGCUUCCAACAGAAAGUCUUUCCCAUUUAAGUAAAAACAAAUCAGAUGACCCAAAACAUUCCUGAUGAAUAAAAACUUAAAUAGAGGCUCUUCAUCUCUUCAUGACAUGACUAGUCAAGCACUAAUUUGGACCAGUGGACAUAUAAUUUAAGAAACCAUACUGGCAUGUGUCAUUGGAGUCUAGCAAACAAGGCUCUGGAGUUGCACUGCUGAAUAUGCUCAUGCAAAAGGAAAACUGAAAAGUCAGGCUUUGGCUGUGUGUUCCCUUUGAAGAAAGAACUGUGAUUGUUGGCAGAGGAAGGAAGGAACUAGGACAAAACAAGGAAAAUAAAUUGUUUUUUCUUUCCAUCAGUCAGCUCCUUAAUUUUCUGCUAAUACUAUAAGUCUAAUUUACAAGUUAAACAUAAAUCUAUUUAUAUAUUAUUUAAAAUUAAAUUACAGAAAAUUACACUGAUUGUGUGUUGAAAUCUUUGAGUACUGAGAGAAGGGAAAAUGAGGCAAAUAAACAUAAGAAGCAAAGGUCAUUUUGCUGUCAACAGAAAAUAGCCCCAGUCAGAAAGAAAAAAGUUUCCACACACAUUUAAUAUAUUUUAAACUCAGGACAUAUUUCAUUCCUUUGUCAUGUCAUUUUUUAUUAGAGAGAUAUAGGCAGAGAUCUAAAAUAAUUAGGUCUACAGCUUAGGUGUUUCAAUCUCUAAAUAAUUAAACAUACCAAAAAAUAUAUCCUUGAAAAUGAAGAGUGAAGGAGACCUCCCUGUAGUCCUUCUUCAGCAAUAGAUUUUGGAUAUAACUUGGACCAUAAGAUGUCAAAAUAAGUAUUAUCCUGAGAAAUGUGCUAAUUGCCUCAAUUAUUUAAUAUCUCUUAAGACUCUUCAUGAUAGUAAAAGGGUCGAUGUUAUGAGCCAAAUUGUUUAGGAUCUUUUCUGCAGCAGCUCUGUCUCAAUAAUUAUGAGCAAAUUUUGAAUAUAUCAAAAUAAUUUUCUAAUGUCCAUCUGAAAGAUGUGCAUACUUGUUUAAUUAAUGAAAGAGAAACUACACAGGGAUAUCCCAUUACAAAAUGUAACCAACAAAUUAUAACUUGUUUCAAAAAUGACUUCAGCAAGUUUCUCAUAGGAAAUAUGGGCAAAAAAUGUUGUAAACAUUAAAAAAAUUGGAUUACAUUUAUGUUGUCACAUUAUAGGUACAGUUCUCACCUCUAAGAAAAGCAAGAAUUCAGACUUUUGUAUAAAGAGUCUCUAAAGUAAUGGAAGCCUCUACAAGAUUUCCAAGAAUCACUUUUAAACUGAAAAUGGAAAGAAUUCACUUCUGCAAAAUCUGUCCUUCCUGCAGUAAAACUGUUUAAACAGAACCUUUACAAAAGGGACACAGUGUAGGAACACAGCUAAGAAACCUGCAGCAAAGCUAGGUAGAGGUAGAAGAUAAAAGUGAGGAUUCUCUUUAACCCUAUUUCCACUGAUAUAAUGUCUUUCAUUUAUUGGAAGAAUAUUACCUUCUAUGCAUUACGUAAAGAUUUAGCCUUCCUUCUUUUUAAUACAUGCUUAUGGUAAUGAUUCUAAAACAAAUCUUUUCUCUGACUCUAAGGAACACAGGUAGAGUAGUGGGCCCAUGCCUAGAAAUAUAAUAUGAAAAAUCUGUGAAAAUAAAGAGAGUGAACCUCAGAAAAUUAAGUAAUGUUUCAAAGAAAAUAAAAAUUAGGCAGCCAGACUUCGUCUUUAAAAUUUUGGAGUUUUGUUAGAUUAUAUUCCAAGAAAAUCACAUGAUCAACCAGAUUUUGGAGCAAGCUGUAGUUUUAAUAUUUAGGAUAAAAAAUAUAUGUGACUAUAAAUGCAGUUCAAAACCUCACUUAAAAUAGUAUCCCCAUAAACAUUAAGGUGGUUCAUUCUCAUAACCAAAGUGCAAGUAGGAAAGAAAUCAUGUCAGUCACUGGAAUCUUCGUUUCAGUUGCCAAAACCCUCAGAUACAACUUCUUUGAAAGGGCACUGAAGGUACUGAGCCCUGCACAGAAAUUAGUCCUUAACCAGGACUAAAACACCAGUGCAACAAACAUCCAAACAGGCUUUUCUGCAGUUUGACUGUGAUCAUCAAUAAAUAAGACACUGGGAUUUUACUUGGUGUGAGUUUCUGCAGGGUGAAAAGCCUUGCAGGAUCUUCCAAUGGAAGAUUAAAGUCAGUGGAUAUUUAUUGCAAUGUUUUUCCUCAGUAUGAUAGCUGCAUUUACUUGGUUGGAGAAGCUGUGAUGCUGCUCUGGUAAGUGGUGGUAAGCAUGAUCCUGAAGCAAGAACAAGCACUUAUACUUCCAUGGUGUUUCUUUCUUGAUCCAAACAGAGGAGAGUAAUCUCACAAAGCAGAAAGGGAGUAAGUCAGUAUUUGAUUUAUGGUCUCUCUGGAAAAAGGUAAUCUUACUGUGGAAUCUGAGAUUGAACUAUGAAGUAUUUAAUUUUUGGUGGGAAAGAAACAGCCUUCCACUUCCCCAAUACAUAAAGAACAGUUGGGGGUUGAGUGUUCUUCCUUUUAUUCCGUCUCACCUAUGGAAUUUUUUGCCCAUUAGUUGCGGGGAAACCUGACUGCUGGUAUUUGCUGGGUGCUUGAGAAACACGGGGAGUUUGGCUGGGACCA